This 205-nucleotide unclassified non-coding RNA is filed under the name Hevea brasiliensis (rubber tree). The record is from RNAcentral. Lineage: Eukaryota; Viridiplantae; Streptophyta; Magnoliopsida; Malpighiales; Euphorbiaceae.
GUUACCUGUCAAACAGCAGCAAUAACAACAACAACAAUGUCUUAAUACAAAACUAGUUGGGGUUGGCUGUAUGGAACCUUUUUUGCCAUUCAGCUCUUAGAUACCAAAUCUACAUCGAUAUCCAAAACUUGUAAACCUAUCACUAUAAAACUGUAAUUUCUUCAUUUUGAGCUCUAAUGAAGUACUGCAAUUUCCUUUUCAAAAG